RNAcentral lists this ribosomal RNA (526 nucleotides) under Bacteroides sp. CJ69. RNAcentral describes it as "bacterial SSU rRNA". It matches the Rfam family "Bacterial small subunit ribosomal RNA", at positions 8 to 521 of the family's 1533-position model. RNAcentral also lists the same sequence under 1 other name. Lineage: Bacteria; Pseudomonadati; Bacteroidota; Bacteroidia; Bacteroidales; Bacteroidaceae. The record is from RNAcentral.
AGAGUUUGAUCCUGGCUCAGGAUGAACGCUAGCUACAGGCUUAACACAUGCAAGUCGAGGGGCAGCAUGGUCUUAGCUUGCUAAGGCUGAUGGCGACCGGCGCACGGGUGAGUAACACGUAUCCAACCUGCCGUCUACUCUUGGCCAGCCUUCUGAAAGGAAGAUUAAUCCAGGAUGGGAUCAUGAGUUCACAUGUCCGCAUGAUUAAAGGUAUUUUCCGGUAGACGAUGGGGAUGCGUUCCAUUAGAUAGUAGGCGGGGUAACGGCCCACCUAGUCAACGAUGGAUAGGGGUUCUGAGAGGAAGGUCCCCCACAUUGGAACUGAGACACGGUCCAAACUCCUACGGGAGGCAGCAGUGAGGAAUAUUGGUCAAUGGGCGAUGGCCUGAACCAGCCAAGUAGCGUGAAGGAUGACUGCCCUAUGGGUUGUAAACUUCUUUUAUAAAGGAAUAAAGUCGGGUAUGCAUACCCGUUUGCAUGUACUUUAUGAAUAAGGAUCGGCUAACUCCGUGCCAGCAGCCGCGGU